Molecule: RNA transcript, 4193 nt
Organism: Asparagus officinalis (garden asparagus)
Lineage: Eukaryota; Viridiplantae; Streptophyta; Magnoliopsida; Asparagales; Asparagaceae
Gene name: UDP-N-acetylmuramoyl-L-alanyl-D-glutamate--2,6-diaminopimelate ligase-like
Exons: 6
Source: RefSeq, a predicted model, not a curated record
GAUAAUUUCAGUGCUCGCUCGGUUUCAUCUCUGUUUUUUUCCCCUCCCCUUGACCCCAGUGCUCACUCCCAACCUCAUCCUGUCGCAAAAACCCUAGCCCUAAACCCUAGUAUCUCUCUCUAUCUUCCUCUGUCUAAAACAUGUUUCUCUCCAUUCCCUCUCUCUCCUUCAGACCCCUGUCAACUCUCCCCCCCCCCCCCGCCGCCGGCGCCGGCGCUCACAAACACAACCCCUCACCCUCCGACGAAGACCCCCCUGAAGCUCCCGAGGACUCCUCCCACGGCGUCUCCAAGCUCCAGCAGUUCGAGCGCCACGUCGCCCGAGCCAAAAAGGCCCAGGAGGCCCAAUUCAAGCAGGACCAGUCCCUCUUCAUAUCUGCCCUAGGCCUAGAAUCCGACCCCCCUCAAGACCCCCACGCUCCCAAAGCGUCCUCCGGCGACGACCUCUUCGGCGACAUUGACACCGCCAUUGCCCUCAAGCGCCAGGAAUUCGUCUCCCGGGGCCUCCUCAAGCCCAACCAGCCUAAAAAGGACCCAGCUUUGGACACCGUCGACGAGCUGUCGGCGGAGGAAGUCGUGGAUCUUGAAGAGAUUAAGGAGCUCCACGGGUUGACUGUCAUCUCCGAGGAUGAGCGCAGCGAGGACGAGGUAAUCAGUCAUUUGGACUCGAACGGGUCUGUGAAUGCGUCUUCGUUUGACAUAAAUCUUGAUGGGUUGGAGAGUUCCAGAGCUAGGAUUGCAGAGCCUAUGUUUAGGAUGACGCUUGCUGAGCUCUUGGAUGAGAGCCGGGUUGUGCCCGCGUCUGUUUUUGGCGACUUGGAGGUGGUGAUCACUGGGAUUCAGCAUGAUUCAAGGGAAGUGAGCGCUGGAGAUUUGUUUGUUUGUUGCGAGGGGAGUAAGACUGAUGGGCAUGCUUAUUUGACUGAGGCUGAUAAGAGAGGAGCAGUGGCCGUGGUGGCCAAUAAGGAGAUUAAUAUCGAUGAGACAUUGGGAUGUAAGGCGCUCGUGAUUGUGGAGAAUACUAAUUUGGUGUUGCCUUUGCUUGCUGCUUCAUUUUAUAAGCACCCCUCGAAGAGUUUAUCAGUUAUCGGGGUUACUGGGACUAAUGGGAAAACAACGACUACCCAUUUGAUUAAGGCAAUGUAUGAAGCUAUGGGGUUGAGAACAGGGAUGUUAGGUACUUUGGGAUAUUACGUUCAUGGAGAUCAUAAGUUAGAAGCAGCUAAUACUACGCCUGAUGCUGUUUCAGUCCAGAGAUUAAUGGCCAAGAUGGUUCAUAAUGGGACUGAGGCAGUUGUGAUGGAGGCUUCUUCUCAUGGUAUGGCACUUGGUAGGUGUGAUGAGAUAGAUUUCGACAUUGCUGUUUUUACAAACCUUACAAGAGACCACCUUGACUUCCAUGGGACCGAGGAGGAAUAUAGGGAAAGCAAAGCGAAGCUUUUUGCCAAGAUGGUUGAUCCUGAAAGGCAUCGAAAGGUUGUGAACAUUGAUGAUCCAAAUGCUUCUUAUUUUAUUGCGCAGGGUAGUUCUAAUGUUCCGGUAGUGACAUACGCAAUGGGAAAUAAGACUGCUGAUGUUCAUCCUUUGAAGUUUGAGCUAUCGUUAUUUGAGACACAGGUGUUGGUUCAAACACCUCAGGGAAUUCUCGAGAUAUCUUCUGGGUUGCUUGGGAGACAUAACAUAUAUAACAUUCUUGCAGCGGUUGCAGUUGGGAUUGCAGUUGGGGCACCAUUGGAGGACAUAGUGAGAGGGAUUGAGGAAGUGGAUGGUGUUCCUGGGAGGUUUGAGUUGAUAGAUGAGGAGCAAGCGUUUGCUGUGGUUGUGGACUAUGCCCAUACACCAGAUGCAUUGUCGAGGCUUUUGGAUGCUGCGAGAGAAUUGGGGCCCCGCAGAAUUAUUACUGUUUUUGGAUGCGGUGGUGAAAGAGAUAGAGGGAAAAGGCCUCUGAUGACAAAAAUUGCUACUGAUAAAAGUGAUGUGGUUAUAUUGACUUCUGACAAUCCAAGGAAUGAAGAUCCACUUGACAUCUUGGAUGACAUGUUGGCUGGCAUUGGUUGGACUAUGCAAGAUUAUCUAAAACAUGGUGAAAAUGACUAUUAUCCACCCCUUUCAAAUGGCCAUAGGCUUUUCUUACAUGACAUUAGAAGGGUAGCUGUGCGCGCUGCUGUUGCUAUGGGCGAGGAAGGUGAUAUAGUUGUUGUUGCUGGUAAAGGUCAUGAAACUUCCCAAAUAGAAGGCGAUAAGAAGGAGUUCUUUGAUGAUAGAGAAGAGUGCAGAGAAGCACUGCACUAUGUUGAUGAAUUGCACCAAGCAGGGAUAGACACGAGCGAGUUCCCGUGGCGGUUACCAGAGAGCCACUGAUGUGUCCUACUAUAAUACAUGAGGUCAUACCUCAAGCAGGUCAUAUUAUGAAGACAUAAGUUCUGUUAUUUCAUGAUUACUAUUGAGCUAUCAUGGAGUGAUAUUACAGUUAGGGGCUUCUACUAGAUAAAGGCAAUUUUGUCAUGAAGAUGAUCCUCGGUCUCUUCUAUCAGAGCCAUCUGCAGUUUGUAUCUUGUUUGUUUGUAAAUUCCUGUUAUAUUUUGUUAUAGAUGUUAUGUAACAAUAAGGCUUGGUGCAGCCUUUCUAAAGCCCCUCAAUAUUGGAAGUUUUUCCAAGUAGUUCAGAAUUUGGUGUUAAAUGAUAUAAUUACUGGAAGCAGAAGCUUGUUGUCUCUUUACUUUUUCUCACUCUUGUAAAUGAAGAAAUUGAAUGGACAGCAAUGGAGAAUAUGCAGCAAGCUGAGUCCGCAGUCAAGAAGUUGGAGCUCUGAGAUUCUCUUUUGAGAUGCUCUUUUUUCUGCCUCAAAGUCGACUCUCAGAUUUGCCGCCUGUUCAUCUCAUCUUUCAAAUGUUGAUGUCACUAAGUUCACCACUCCAUUCUACAGGGAGUAGGGAGCACUGUAUGAAAUUUUCGGUAAUGUCAUUACUUGAGAGAGCAUAUCGUGCAAUGUUGAAAUCAAUCUUCAACAAAAACAGAUACCAAUGAAAUUUCUGUCAAGAAAUUUAUUUAUUAAGUAUUUGCUUUUCCUUGUUUAGGUUAACCUAAAAAGGGAGAAUAUAUUAGUUAGUCUUCCAGAUUCAUUUAACCAUCCCAGCUUAGUGAAAUUGUAAGAGAAGAACUUUACCUUAUUUUCUGUUUUACUUUCUCUUCUUCCUCUUUCUCAUGAUAAUUCUUUUUUUUCCAAUUAUAUUCCUUUUAUUUGUUUUUUCAGUUAAUUUAUAAUAUUCUUUCAUUGCCUUUCCAAACUAUCUAUAUUUCUUAGUUGUAUAACCAUGUAUUUAUGUUCUCAAGUGGUUAUUUGUUUUGUUUGCAGUUGGUGACGUUGAUGGCACCGACCCACCAGUUGUAUGUAAGAUGGACUAUGUCAUAAUUUUUUCAGCUGUGGCUCCUAUGUUCAUCAAUGCGAUACGCGUAAAGCUCAAGAGAGUUGGAUAUGGGGAUAAGUCAGUCAAUUUGUUUGUUAAACAAUUGAAAGUUGGUAUGCAUAUAAGAUACUUUUUUCUCUAGUUGUGCAUUGAAUAUAAUUACAUGUAUUUCGAUAUAAUAACAUGCAGAUGGCUGUUCUUGUUUUGAGUAGCAAACAUGUUUGGAUUUCCAUAUUUUAAACAGGUAAAACCAGGCCCCGCCGAAUUCAAGUCAAAUCAAAAUAGGAUAUGAAUCUCCUGUUUUCUGUGUUUGAGCAGAAAGAGACCAAGACAGUUCAAGCAUUUGUGGCCCCCACUCUUCCUCUGCCACUUCCACUGUCAUUUUCGUUUCCUUAAAAAAAGACCUGGUAAUGAGAAUAGGACACAAGCAUUUUAAUGAAGCAGCUAGAACCAAGGACUAAGAUGUUAAGCUGGAGUGAAUGGUGGUUAAGAUCUACCUCACUUCUUCAGAUAGAAAAAUGCAAUAUGGAAAGCAGCCUAAGACAGAGAACUGAUGAGACAAUUGUUAGACGACAACAGAAUGAAGAAGAAGAAGAAGAAGAAGAACUAGUUUAUGUGGGAGUGAAGAAGGAACCCUGAGAAGGGAAGGCUACUUUCCGGUGGCUUCUUGAGAAUACUUAUGAAGAGAAACUGAAGGUUGUUAUUGUCCAUGUUCAUAUCCCAAGACAGACGAUCCCCUUCAGUAUACACUCUCUAUCUCUGUUACAUAUGAAAAUUUUCUUUUCUA